CACGUAGGGUGCGAGCGUUGUCCGGAAUUAUUGGGCGUAAAGCGCGCGCAGGCGGUUCUUUAAGUCUGAUGUGAAAGCCCACGGCUCAACCGUGGAGGGUCAUUGGAAACUGGAGAACUUGAGUACAGAAGAGGAAAGCGGAAUUCCACGUGUAGCGGUGAAAUGCGUAGAGAUGUGGAGGAACACCAGUGGCGAAGGCGGCUUCUGGUCUGUAACUGACGCUGAGGCGCGAAAGCGUGGGGAGCAAACAGG
This 252-nucleotide ribosomal RNA is filed under the name uncultured bacterium. RNAcentral's name for it is "partial 16S ribosomal RNA". It matches the Rfam family "Bacterial small subunit ribosomal RNA", at positions 524 to 776 of the family's 1533-position model. The record is from RNAcentral.